Molecule: long non-coding RNA, 5673 nt
Organism: Oncorhynchus gorbuscha (pink salmon)
Lineage: Eukaryota; Metazoa; Chordata; Actinopteri; Salmoniformes; Salmonidae
Exons: 2
Source: RefSeq, a predicted model, not a curated record
CAUUGUGUGUGUUUGUCCAUGAGGAGGUGUGUGUAUAUGUGUGUGUCUGUGCCACCUUAUCAAAUACAGAGCUAUAUGUUUAUAUAUCCCCCUCUGCAGCUUGUUAUGGUCUAAUCUCACAUGUUGAUUUUGAAAGAUGAUUGUGGUUUGGCCAAUGUACAAUCACAACAAUAUCAGUCACUGACAAGUAACGUGAAUAGAUGACAUGUCUUGUGACUAGACUCAAACAUGUCAGAGUGAGAUAUAUAUAGAGUGAUAUCGAAGGGGUGAGAGGGUGGUGCAUCUGGCUGUUUUAUAGAACAAGUGUUAAGAGUGAUGACAUUUACCCCUUCCUGUGCCCUCACACACACAUAUCGUUGGAGUCAACCAGUUUAUCUCGCCUUUGGAUUUUCCUGGUGCAGACCAUAAAUGCAAAAACCCUUUCUGCCAGUUAGCACAAUACUGCCACACCCAGUAAUGCACAGUGCACUGCAUUUUAGACUUAGUUGUUCUUAUCACAGAGUUUGUCAAAUCACCACUACAUAUUACAAUCAUGUGCACUGAGUGAAUUUAACAAAUAUUAGAUCUACCUACACUAGUCUGGAACUUGUAGCCUACUAACCACUAGUACCCUAAGGUCUCUAUGGGUUGGCUUAUCGGUAUCGGUCUCCCAGACACACAGUCUCCUCCCACCCAGUCUCUCCCCAAAAGAAACUCCGAUCAGAACACAACCAAAAGUAAUAUAUGGACUAUUUUACAACCAUUUUACCACUAAUCUGAGUAUUCAUGUGAAUGGCACUGCUGGCUGUAGGCCAUCUCUGUUUCUCUCUCUAGGGAGUACUGAUGGCACAGCGGAAGUGGAUGCGGAUAUAACGUUUUCUGAAACCCACCCACAACAAUCGCCGCACAUUGAGGGCAUUUGAUUAAUCUGGACCGGGAACUCGUAUAGGCGUGUUUUGCACCGGGUAUUUGGUGUUUCAUUAGGAUCCCCAUUAAUUGUUGCAAAAGCAGCAGCUACUCUUCCUGGGGUCCACACAAAACAUGAAACAUAAUAUAGAAUGACAUAAUACAGAACAUAAUUUAGACCGGGUAAAAGUUGAUUGCAUAUUCGUUUUGGAACCUGGCUGCCUCCCGGGCGUGAGCCAGGUGCAGGUUGACGUUUAUUGCCAUGAGUCUUGUCCUGGAGGCAGCACUGAGCGAUUUCCCAUUCGAUAGGCCAGCUGUAAAGUCAAAAUGGGUAUAUUGUUAGAAUGAAUGCAUUUAAAAAAUAUACAUUUUUGGUCGCAAUUUAAGAUUAGGGUGAGGCAUUAGGGUUAUCAGUGUGGUUAAGGUUACACGUAACGGGACAUAGACCGGUGUGCUGCGGCUCGGUAUAAUCGAAUCUGCCCACUGUAUUAUGAAAUGCUCGGAAAAGUUGUGAAAAUAAUCACGGUUUCUCGCACGUUUACACAACUCCACCUGUGCAUGGGAAACGCAGUCAUUCAUGAAUCUGUAAUACUGUAAAAAUAACACAAUUAAUGUUGGAACAGUAGUGAGCCUCACAGGAGGUUGGUGACACCUCCUGUGAUGACGGACUCGUUGUAAUGGCUGGAGCGGAAUGGGAAUCGUGGAAUGAGUUCGCCGAACACAUGGUUUCCAUUUCGUUUCCAUGUGUUUGAUGCCAUUCCAAUCGUUCUAUCCAUUAUUAUGAGCCGUCCUCCCCUCAGCAGCCUCCGUUGCCAUUGCCAAGCGUAAAGAAUCUACAGACACACCAUUGAAGACCGAUGCAAAGAAGCUGAAGCAGGUUGCAAAAUUACAUAGCUGGCGGACUAAGAGCCAAAAAGACCAAGGUAUUGGUACAUUUAGCCAACUAGUUACAACACUCGGCUAGCUAGCUAACACUGAGGAAAUACUGAUUGGAAACAUCCAUGGAAAAAUCUGCUCUGUAUCUUGCCAUUUAGCUAAGUUAGGCUACAUUGUGACACUGACAACAUAACAUAUCAAAUGUUUGGCUGCCAGUUACAUGUAAAAUGCAGACUUAUAAUGUUGCAGUUGCAUCUCUCUGAGUCUGACCGCAUGACUUCAAUAACUCCUGGUUCAAAUGUGUCACUGAUGCGUUUUAAUGGGCUAGCAUCUGUCAGAUACAUGUUUUCACAGAUUGUAUGCAGGUGCAUAGUUUUGCAUGGUUACCAUUGUGGAUCAACUAUCUGUCGGAUACAUGUUUUCACAGAUUGUAUGCAGGUGCAUAGUUUUGCAUGGUUACCAUUGUGGAUCAACUAUCUGUCAGAUACAUGUUUUCACAGAUUGUAUGCAGGUGCAUAGUUUUGCAUGGUUACCAUUGUGGAUCAACUAUCUGUCAGAUACAUGUUUUCACAGAUUGUAUGCAGGUGCAUAGUUUUGCAUGGUUACCAUUGUGGAUCAACUAUCUGUCAGAUACAUGUUUUCACAGAUUGUAUGCAGGUGCAUAGUUUUGCAUGGUUACCAUUGUGGAUCAACUAUCUGUCAGAUACAUGUUAUCACAGACUGUAUGCAGGUGCAUAGUUUUGCAUGGUUACCAUUGUGGAUCAACUAUCUGUCAGUAAACAUGUUUUCACAGAUUGUAUGCAGGUGCAUAGUUUUGCAUGGUUACCAUUGUGGAUCAACUAUCUGUCAGAUACAUGUUUUCACAGAUUGUAUGCAGGUGCAUAGUUUUGCAUGGUUACCAUUGUGGAUCAACUAUCUGUCAGUAAACAUGUUUUCACAGAUUGUAUGCAGGUGCAUAGUUUUGCAUGGUUACCAUUGUGGAUCAACUAUCUGUCAGAUACAUGUUAUCACAGACUGUAUGCAGGUGCAUAGUUUUGCAUGGUUACCAUUGUGGAUAAACUAUCUGUCAGAUACGUGUUUUCACAGAUUGUAUGCAGGUGCAUAGUUUUGCAUGGUUACCAUUGUGGAUCAACUAUCUGUCAGUAAACAUGUUUUCACAGAUUGUAUGCAGGUGCAUAGUUUUGCAUGGUUACCAUUGUGGAUCAACUAUCUGUCAGAUACAUGUUUUCACAGAUUGUAUGCAGGUGCAUAGUUUUGCAUGGUUACCAUUGUGGAUCAACUAUCUGUCAGUAAACAUGUUUUCACAGAUUGUAUGCAGGUGCAUAGUUUUGCAUGGUUACCAUUGUCGAUCAACUAUCUGUCAGAUACAUGUUUUCACAGAUUGUAUGCAGGUGCAUAGUUUUGCAUGGUUACCAUUGUGGAUCAACUAUCUGUCAGAUACAUGUUUUCACAGAUUGUAUGCAGGUGCAUAGUUUUGCAUGGUUACCAUUGUGGAUCAACUAUCUGUCAGAUACAUGUUUUCACAGAUUGUAUGCAGGUGCAUAGUUUUGCAUGGUUACCAUUGUGGAUCAACUAUCUGUCAGAUACAUGUUAUCACAGACUGUAUGCAGGUGCAUAGUUUUGCAUGGUUACCAUUGUGGAUCAACUAUCUGUCAGAUACAUGUUUUCACAGAUUGUAUGCAGGUGCAUAGUUUUGCAUGGUUACCAUUGUGGAUCAACUAUCUGUCAGUAAACAUGUUUUCACAGAUUGUAUGCAGGUGCAUAGUUUUGCAUGGUUACCAUUGUGGAUCAACUAUCUGUCAGAUACAUGUUUUCACAGAUUGUAUGCAGGUGCAUAGUUUUGCAUGGUUACCAUUGUGGAUCAACUAUCUGUCAGUAAACAUGGCUGCAUAUAGGAACGUGUUUUUCAAUUGAGUUGAAUUUAUUUUUGGUUAAUUCUGUGCAGAAUUAAACUAAUGUUAUUUACCACACAACUUUCAUAUAACCGUAGCCAUGUUCAUGAACUGGCCUCCUUCCUCAAGAUGCUUUUAUAGGGCUUUAAACAGAGAUUUUAGGGUAGGCAGCCAUUAUGUUGAGAAACUACGGUUUUGUCUACUUUAUGGUGUGGCACAAAAACAAAUCAGUGGACUAGUGAAAGUCUUUCUCUCACUCUCAUCUUACAAUGACUCAUCUCUCCACCCCCUCAGAGAAUGGAAACUGAGAAAGUUUCAAAGAAAGGCCAAGCCCACAACUACAGUAGGGGACAACCAACACCAGUAAAUACUUCCACAAGGCUCCAGUGAAAGAGGAUCCUACUGACAUGACUCCUGAGAGUGAUAUCAUCCCUCCUUUUACAAGAGCUAGGAUAUACAUGUAUACAGUAAAGCCUGGGGGGGAAAGAAGAGGAAGAUGAGAAAGGAAUGAGCACUAGUUUUGCUUGUACAGUGUUUGUUUACAUCACAUGUAGAUUAGUGUUCUCUGUAUGUAGGCCUAUGAUGGCUCCGGUCCUUACUCUGUGUGUGUGUGGCCGUGUGAUAUUGUCUUCUGUCUACAGAGCUGGCUGAGCCCUUACGUCCAGUGGAGCCAGUAGAGCCCAGCCCUCAGCCUGUGGAGACAGAGAUUGAGGCCCUUGACAACAUCUGCAGAAAAGUGGAAGAUGCAGUCUGUGUAUUUGUGUGUACUCCUUUGGAAAAUCAAGUGUUCCACCAUAGAUAAAACUAUCAGAGACUAGGAUUAUUGUUUAUUUUUCCAAGAUGAAGAUAUUAACCAAUCAAUCACCAUGACAACUCUGGUGGUAAACCACAUGACUCCAGGGAGAAGAGGAAGGCAGAGUUUGAGACCUACCUGCGACACGAUGAACCGCUUCAACAAAGAUGUGGUGGAGGACACACACACACACAAGGUCCACCUCGUGUCUUUUAGCCAAUGGGAUGUUCCGGAAUUGGUUGUGUAUUGAACCUGCUGCCCACCCACUUUACCAUGUUGGCCAAGGAACACAUUGACACGAACUACCCCUCUGGCCUGCUCAACUGGCUAGAAGGGCCUUCAAUGUGUGUGUGUGACUUUAACUGUGUGGAAACCUAUUUCUCUGCUUAUUCCUGAACUAUGUUUACCCUUAACCUGACUCAUUUAAUCAUACCUGGCUAUGUUGUUAAGUCUAUGUGUUGUUCUUUGUACUUUAUCCUGUUUGAUGUCAUCCUUCUCUCCAGGUUUGGGGGAAUGUUCAUGCUGAACCCAGAUCUUCCCUGUGAGGAGAGGCUGGGACCACAGGCCAUGCUGGAGAGGAGGCUGGGCAGCCUCACUGCUAAACACCACCAGGAAAUGACACUUGAGGGACAUGUAUCCAAUGUAAAUGUAAAUGUAUCCAAAUUGAAGGCACCUUGCAGAAACGUUUGUGCAUGUUCGUCUGUUGCAUAUUCUUUUUUUCACUGCGAAUGGAGUAUGUUUGUGAGGGAGGACCAUAUUCUUUUGAACAACUUGGGCUCUUAUGGUAUGACUUGUUCUCUCUAGACAUAAAUCAGGCCCAACUUGGUUUGGCUUGAUGGUACUCAACUGAAGCCUGUUUCCUUUGUCUUACCUGCAUGAUGCAACUUUGACCUCUGACCCCUGUGCUUGUCUGUUUCCAUCAGAUGUUUCUGUUGGUGCUUAGGUUGUUGCAGCUCUUGUCAACUGCUGCUCUCUAUGCAGCCCCUGUCACUGAAGCACCCCCAUCAGCCAAGGGUACAGCCUGACUGAAGGCUUUUGGGUCGUUCUACGAAAUGUGUGCAUUUUGCAUCCCUUUGAUAUUUUCAAGUACAAAUUGUGCACCAAUAUUUGAUUUUAAAAGCCUUUUAUAUUACAUGACGUGCCCUUUAAUAGAGACCACAUGGCGUAUUCAAUAAAUCUGAUUUUUCUUUACAUGAAUAAAGACUGCUAAAGUGCUAAAAUCCCGCA